RNAcentral lists this long non-coding RNA (525 nucleotides) under Heterocephalus glaber (naked mole-rat). Its description in RNAcentral is "lncRNA (ENSHGLG00000050770.1)". Lineage: Eukaryota; Metazoa; Chordata; Mammalia; Rodentia; Bathyergidae. The record is from RNAcentral.
CAGCCAAAAUUUUCAGGGAGCUGAACUUUACUCUGGUCUAUAGAGCUGUAGUCUUAAGAGAAUUUGCUAACAGAGAAAAUCUCUAUUUCUGUCUUAUAGAUUAGAGUAACUAAAAGCCCUAACUUUCUGGAGGGAAGAUACAAGUAUUUUUUUAGGAGUUCCCAGUACCAGAAACCACUUGCAAGAUCAUGUAGAGAGAACUGAAGUCACAGGGGUAAACAUUACCCUGAAAUUUGGAGAGACAAGUGGGUACAUCCAGAAAGAAAUAGCUUGUGUGGAGCAGAAGCCAGUCAUAAAAUGGUGCGAACACUUAAAUGAGUCUGAGAUGAAGAGGAGAAAAAGAAAAAAAUUAUUUGAAGAAAUAAUGGCUGGAAACUUCAUAAAUUUGGCAAAAGACAAAAACCCGCUGAGUUAAUAAGCCCAGCAAACUCCGAACAGGAUAAAUCCAAAGAAAUGACUGCCCAGAGACAGCAUAAAGAGCUUGCAAACUAAAUGCAAAGAAAAAAAAUUGAAAGCAGCCAGAGG